Molecule: non-coding RNA, 168 nt
Organism: Pelobates cultripes (western spadefoot toad)
Lineage: Eukaryota; Metazoa; Chordata; Amphibia; Anura; Pelobatidae
Source: the annotation of a GenBank genome assembly
GCAGACACAUUCCAGCCAAUCAGCAGCAGACCCUCCCUCCAGGACCCUCCCACCUCCUGGACAGCAUCCAUUUUACAUUCAUUGUGAAGCUGCAUUCUUAGUGAGCUGUCCAGGAGGUGGGAGGGUCUGGGAGGGAGGGUCUGCUGCUGAUUGGCUGGAAUGUGUCAG